Molecule: transfer RNA, 66 nt
Filed under: fish gut metagenome
Rfam family: tRNA
About the family: Transfer RNA (tRNA) molecules are approximately 80 nucleotides in length. Their secondary structure includes four short double-helical elements and three loops (D, anti-codon, and T loops).
Source: RNAcentral
CAUUAGCUCAAUUGGUAGAGCAGUGGACUCUUAAUCCAUUUGUUGUAGGUUCAAGUCCCACAUGAC